GAUGAACGCUGGCGGCGUGCCUAAUACAUGCAAGUCGAGCGAACGGACGAGAAGCUUGCUUUUCUGAUGUUAGCGGGGGACGGGUGAGUAACACGUGGAUAACCUACCUAUAAGACGGGGAGAACUUCGGGAAACCGGAGAUAAUACCGGAUAAUAUGUUGAACCGCAGGGUUCAAAAGUGAAAGACGGUCUUGCUGUCACUUAUAGAUGGAUCCGCGCUGCAUUAGCUAGUUGGUAAGGUAACGGCUUACCAAGGCAACGAUGCAUAGCCGACCUGAGAGGGUGAUCGGCCACACUGGAACUGAGACACGGUCCAGACUCCUACGGGAGGCAGCAGUAGGGAAUCUUCCGCAAUGGGCGAAAGCCUGACGGAGCAACGCCGCGUGAGUGAUGAAGGUCUUCGGAUCGUAAAACUCUGUUAUUAGGGAAGAACAUAUGUGUAAGUAACUGUGCACAUCUUGACGGUACCUAAUCAGAAAGCCACGGCUAACUACGUG
RNAcentral lists this ribosomal RNA (497 nucleotides) under uncultured bacterium. Its description in RNAcentral is "partial 16S ribosomal RNA". It matches the Rfam family "Bacterial small subunit ribosomal RNA", at positions 28 to 507 of the family's 1533-position model. The record is from RNAcentral.